GCAUUUGUAAACUGCACUUUGGGAGGGACGGGUAGGAUUUGGUUGGGGCGUGCAUGGAGACCUUACUCCACUGUCGUCUUUGCUAACACUUACAUGACUGAUAUCGUUGCUCCUGAGGGCUGGAACGACUUUAACGACCCUUCAAGAGACCAGUUAAGUAGUUUCGUCAUCUCAUCUAAACGAUUAAACUAUCAAAAUAAUUUUUUUUACAACUCAACAUUGGAACUUAAUUUCCCAUUAAAGUGAGUUAUAGCUCAGUUCCUCUCUUUAGUCCAUCCCAUUAAUUGCCUGGAUAUAAAUCCCCUACCAAUGUAACAUUUCGUGCAAUAUACCACAGCUGCAACUUCACAUUUGAAAAACAAAUACUAAGCAAUACUCUCACCUAGGGCUGUACAUAACUUGGUAAAUACCGAAUUAUCGUAUUAAAAUUAAAAAUUUUGGUAUUUGGUAUUCGAUAUGGUUUGAUUCAACUUUUAAAAACAAUUGGUAUUAGGUAUGAUAUGUAAUUUUUCAAAAAUGAAAUAUCGAUACCGUACUGAAAUAGAUAAUAUAUUACACAAUACACAUAUUAUUAAUUAUAACAUAUAUAAAAAAUCUAAAAUUGUACUUUCCUUUAUUCUCUAAGUUCAUCAAUUGACUCAAACAAGUAACAAGACAUUUCUAAUAAUCAAAUUUAUUUUUUUAUGUAUAGUUUUCUCUCUCUGAGUUAAUAUUUGCUGGUUUUGGACAAAAAUUUUGUCAACAAUGUUUUUUGUUUUAUAUUUUUGAGUACUUUAAUUAAGAAUAUUACAGUCUAUGAAUCUACACACUAGUAAGUAUUCAAACCGAAUAAACCUAAGUUACCAAAACGAAUAAAUGGAAACUGAAAGGAGAAAAAUCGAACUAUAUCAGAAUUUAAUUAAGUACAGUAUUAAUAUAGCAUUUUAAGAAAUCGAAUACCAAAAUUAUUGAACCGAAAUAUCUAAAUAUCGUACCAUAUCGACCGAAGAACACCCUUAUAUCCUUGCGUAUAGUUUCUCAUGAGCAACCAAUCUAAGGAUGAAUAUCCACUUAUUAGGCGCACCAUAAGAAAUUCAAAAUGCACCACAAAAUAAAUUUUAGCUAGGCCGUUGCUCAAAACAGAUAACAUUUACUUUUGGUCAUGAUGACUAAGAAGAUUAUCACAGAACGUCGGCACUAAAAACCUUAUUUUAUAUAGUGCUUAUCAUAAUGAAAAUUAUUUGUUUUCAACUUAACAUUAUCAUUCGACUUAUAUUAUUGGUUGUAAAGUUUAACUUAUUAGAAUAAUUCAUACAGGACAAUCUUUUAUGUGGAGUACAACUGUUCAGGAGCAGGAUCCAGUAUGACAUUGAGGGCACCAUAUGUUCAAAGACUAAAUGAUACACAAAUUCUUCCCUUCCUCAACUCGUCUUUCAUUGAUGCUAAUUUGUGGCUCCAAUCUUUUACCUCUUAGCAUCCUUCGUAGAGGAGAAAUUAAGAUUUGAAGUUUAUAUAUUCGGGUUUUCAGUCGGUUUAUAAAGUUAUUGGAUUCUAAAUUUAUAAUUUAUAUAUAUUCAAUAAAUUUUUUAAUACAAAUAUAAAGUUUAAAUCAAAAUUACUGGAUUUGACCGAGUCUACCGUCCGCCUCUGUGGCGUGUGCACAUAUACAGACUAUAUUUCCGAAUUAGACGAGAUUAUUGUACUUUUUAUUAUGGGUUUAUCUUUUAUCCAUUGACAGUACCGUAGAUGAAGUUAAUUGCAUAAUCAGUACUGUUUAACAAUAAAAGAUUCUUAUUUUCAUAUUUAAUGGAUACAGUAUCAAUGUGUAGAAAUUAAAUCCGUUAUUAUUAUUAUUAUUAUUAUUAUUAUUAUUAUUAUUAUUAUUAUUAUUAUUAUUAUUGUUGUUGUUGUUGUUGUUGUUGUUGUUGUUGUUAUGAUUGUUACUGUUAUUGUUAUUGUUAUUGUUAUUGUCACACUUCCUUUUUUACACAUCUGAGGUGAUAUAAAAGAGUUUUUCCACUUUAAGUGAUAUUAUUCGAAAUGAGAUUAUUUAUUCAUUUUUAUUCAGAGUCUCCACUUGGAAUAUUUUAAUUGGUGUCCUAAGUCACCGGUUUAUUUUAAAUCCCAAAUCGAGGAAAUUUUGAUUUCCUUUUGAAGUCUACGAACACAGAAAUUCUGUUAACCCUGGAGAAGGUGUUAGGCAUUCCCGGAUUCCGUGGUUCUAGCACAAUAGCUUAAACUAUUGCAAUUGGCCUAUUAUGUAAUUUUAAUAAAUGUUUUAGUCUAUGACAUAUUUUAACUUAUUAAACGCUUAAUUUAGGAAGCUUCAAUGUUAUCUAAAACAUAUCUUGAUUCACGUCACAUGAAAUGCACCGUGAUUCAUAACAUAUUUUAUUUAACAUUGUUAAGAAUUUGAAAUUGCGUCACAUAAAAUACACACUCAAAUUUAAAAAAUUAAUUUUAAAAUAAUGUGCCUAAAAUAACUAGCGCAUAAAUAGAGAUUUGAGAUUAAAAAGUGUUAGUCAUGAAUAAUGAAAAUUUGCUGUAAAAAUGGUGGCUUAGAUCGUUAAACUAUUAGGCCAAAAUAUGGAGGUAAUUGGCGUCAAUGCACCAACAAGCCGUGGAACCAAUCCAUAAAGAGAAAAAAUGUGAACACAAAUAUUAGAUCAAACCUCCACCACAUCAGCAGAAGAGUAAAUGCGUUCGAGAAGCUGGCAUGUGAAGAAAUUUUUUCAAGACAUUACAAUCCAUGUCACGUUGGGUGCACACAAACCAAAGGCCUCAUAAAUUUGUUCUGCUUUUCAAGUUCUCUUUUCCAACAUGUUAUUUUACAGAUCACAGCCAAUAAAAUGGAAAUUAAUUCCUCUAAAUCAUUAUCACAGACCUAAAGCAACUUAAACAGAUUAUGUAUCAUACUACUAAUAUUUUUAACAUGUAACUUUGAGAUAAAACGAGAUGAUUACGUGAGUAAGUUAUUGGAUAGGGAAGCUCGCCAACUGAAUAAAACAAAUUGUACGAAAAAUACUUUAUUCACAUAAAUUUCACGAAGAAACAGAAGCAUGCAAUCAUAAAUAUAGAAUUACACCAAAGUGAAAGAAAAUAACCUCAAAAUGAACCUUCACACAAGUGGGAUGAGCUACUGUUGACCGGACCAGCAAUCGGAAGCCUCGAACGGAACAUGACUUCGACCGGAAAACUUCUAACUCAAACGGACCUUUAAAACUUGAAUCUCGGCUGCUUUUUAACAGUGAUGGAAGCUAGCUGUUGGGUUCGUGUUCUCGGUUGGUUUACAAGUAGUUUGAGGUCGGUUUUUGGAGGAAGAAUACAAGCACCAACUGCUGCGCUUUUGCCACAUGAAGCUGCUGCAUUUUUAUUGCUUUUUGGACGGUUCGAAGCUAGGUUGGUGGUAUACUUCAGCUGGAUUUCUGGGAUGGUUUUUGGUUUGUUUUUGGCAUGUAUUUUAGGGAGGAAGAAAGGGUUGUUUUGCUGGUGGAUUUUGGUGACGAAAAUGGUAUUUUCAGCUCAUUUCCACGGUUGGAUAUGGAGCUUCUGGAGUAGUUUCUGGGUUUAGUUCCUAACUUUCAUGGCUUUUCAUUGUGAUUUUCAGGUUGAAGAUCUCAUGGAAGAAGAAGAAGAAGUUGGGGCUAUUUUUUAUUGUUCUCCCUCUGCUCAGCUCUCCUCUGAUCUCUGUUACUCCUCUCUGUUUUUGUUUUUCUGUAUAUCUGAUCCCCUUCCUUUUAUUUUGUCCUCUGUGUGUGU
Molecule: long non-coding RNA, 3738 nt
Filed under: Nicotiana benthamiana
Lineage: Eukaryota; Viridiplantae; Streptophyta; Magnoliopsida; Solanales; Solanaceae
Description: long non-coding RNA (NBEN_LNC030820)
Source: RNAcentral